RNAcentral lists this ribosomal RNA (343 nucleotides) under Plotococcus eugeniae. RNAcentral's name for it is "partial 28S large subunit ribosomal RNA". Lineage: Eukaryota; Metazoa; Arthropoda; Insecta; Hemiptera; Pseudococcidae. The record is from RNAcentral.
CAAACCGUUCGGGGGUAAACGGACAGAGCCCGUGAAUCCGGGCGACGGAAUUCAGAAUCGACGACGCGGACGUUAACGCCGUGCCGUGUGGUCGAUUCGAUAUUUCCGUCGCCGAUCAUUUUACGCACGGACGUCGCGACCCGUUCGGUGUCGGUCCGCAGGAGACGCGCGAAAGUUCGUGUUCGUUGGCGGCGGCGUGACCUCGCGUCGCGCCGUCGCGGACGUUUCGCGAGUGCGCGUUUUAUUUUCUGGCCGACUCGCCGGACGGUAAGCGUAGCGGUGAGCGCGGCGGCCUCCCCCCCGGGGUCGGCGCCGUCGCGUUACCGGUCUGCGACGAAUCUUC